Molecule: long non-coding RNA, 259 nt
Filed under: Mytilus galloprovincialis (Mediterranean mussel)
Lineage: Eukaryota; Metazoa; Mollusca; Bivalvia; Mytilida; Mytilidae
Source: RNAcentral
GUUUUGGAAAAGAAUUUACAAAUUUUAUCAUUUUUAGUUGAGACUCCCAUACCACCUUAAGGUUAGUAGUUACAGUUAUGUAAUGAAAAUCUGUAAUUGCGUCGGGUUUAUAUAAACUAUAAAAGCUAUAUGCACUAGUUUUUUUUCUAACGUUUACUCGAAUUCAUUACAUGUAAUCAAUCAACCUUAGUAACAAAAGAAGUCUAGAUGUUUUGGAAACCGUAAUGCAAAUGUUUUCCACAUUUCAAUUGUUGUUUAA